Molecule: RNA transcript, 1002 nt
Organism: Nematostella vectensis (starlet sea anemone)
Lineage: Eukaryota; Metazoa; Cnidaria; Anthozoa; Actiniaria; Edwardsiidae
Exons: 3
Source: RefSeq, a predicted model, not a curated record
AACAGCUAGCAAACAAAUCGUUGGUGUCGGGCCCCUUGCUUUGAGAAUAAGUCAAUUAAAUGGCCGUUUCAGCAUUACCUGCGUGUCUAAACUGAAUGCUAGAAGUGCCGGUAUCAAGUUUGCCGAAUUCUUUCUAAUCGCUUGAAUUUGCCCAUAAUGCUACCAAGCCUACCAGAUCUGUUAUGCUGUAUCCAGAAUUCUUUAAUCAAUUUGAUUGUGAUGGUGACUUAAGGAAAAUAACAUGUUCAAGUGCUGGGGGUUUAGCUAGAGAGCUCUGUGGCAAGAUACAGGCACUCAAGGAGCUACCGUCUGUUGAUGAGGCCAUAGAAAGCAGUACCACACAGGAAGCACCAAACCACAACACAACACAAGCAGUGCAAAAAAAGACAAACACCACCCCUUUUUGCAACAAGUGAUGCAAAAAGAUCCAAAAAAGAUGACAAAGAUGGCUGUAUAUUGGACCUACGGCAGCGAUGUGAUGAGCAUCUCAUUGACAAUCUUGUGCACUUCAUUCCUAUUGAGAAGCUGGUGCUCCUUCCCAAGCAAAGACAAAGCAGGGAAGUAAAUAAAACCUUUUUGGAUGAUUUGCAAAAACAACUACGAGCAAAGCCUUCUGGAAGCUACCAGAUUUUGUCGGUUUUAACCAAAGAUGUCCAAGAAAAACAACGUUUUGACAAGGAAAGAAUGACAAUGGUAUUGCCACUCUAGCGAGUAAAGUUUUGUGGUGAAGGCGAUUCUGUUCUCUUAUUUCUACCUUCAGCCAUUGCAAUGGCCACCAUCUUGCAAGAGGGACGAAACUGUAUCAUGGUUUCUAUAGAAAGUGAAAAGGAGCUACUACGUAGCAGAGUUUUAGCUGAUUUAGAAAAUUUAAAAGGCAAUGUAGAUGAAGAAGGAGGCAGUACUAAUAAACACAUUGACCCCUGAACCGGCCUGUACCGGCUUUGGGAAGUACCCACAACCCAAAAAAUUCAUAAAUUCAAAAUAAACACAACAAGAUGAAGA